UUUGAAUGGAUACUUCUGCUCUCGACAUGGAUAACAAGAUUCCAUCAGAUGAACUGGGAGAAUUGAGGUGCAGCGAUUUAGACGUUCCCCUGUUCACACCAAAUGACUUCGACCCAAUUAUCAAUUUACAUUUACUGGAUAUGACAGUUGAGCAGUGGAUGUUAUUGGCAGCUGGACAGGUAGACACUGCCUUGGCCGAUCUGCUAUCUCAAAUGUGUCAUGAGAUGGUAGAUGCGGUCAGUGUCGUAUUCCUGGAAGAAGUGAGACCCCAGGUUCUUAACUGGAUUACCCUGAAA
Long non-coding RNA from Xiphias gladius (swordfish), 296 nucleotides. RefSeq lists it as uncharacterized. The record is from RefSeq and is a predicted model, not a curated record. The transcript has 3 exons. NCBI's taxonomy places the organism in Eukaryota, Metazoa, Chordata, Actinopteri, Istiophoriformes, Xiphiidae.